UCCCGGCCUCCAUUUGAUGAAAUUUUUAUAUCACCGUGAUCACCAUUCUUUUCUCUACAGGUUGACCAGAGCCGAAUCACCAAAACACGAACCUCGCCGGAGAGCCACUGCACCCGAGAGCGCCGCCGCUGGUAAGCUCCGUUUUUCCGUGAUUUUUUGGCCCCCCGAGGGCCCUAGGGUUGUUUUCUCACAGGGACCGAUGCGAGUGUGGCCGAAAAUAGCCAACCCGAG
This 231-nucleotide long non-coding RNA is filed under the name Carica papaya (papaya). RNAcentral describes it as "long non-coding RNA (CPAP_LNC005054)". The record is from RNAcentral. Lineage: Eukaryota; Viridiplantae; Streptophyta; Magnoliopsida; Brassicales; Caricaceae.